GAGGGAACCAACAUGGAAGUAGACAUAACUGAUUUUUAAAAGUGGGAGCCUUGGAUGUGUUUGCUCACAUGCACCUAUAAGUACUCUAAGGUUGAGAGGAGUAUUUUGAUCACAAGAUUGUGGACCGUCGGAUUUUGCUACAAUUGUGACAUUUUUGACAGGAGUUCAAGCAGUUGCUUGAUAAUAAUUUGUGAAGCUCUCUUAUGAUUUCC
Molecule: long non-coding RNA, 212 nt
Filed under: Prunus persica (peach)
Lineage: Eukaryota; Viridiplantae; Streptophyta; Magnoliopsida; Rosales; Rosaceae
Description: long non-coding RNA (PPER_LNC006716)
Source: RNAcentral